Long non-coding RNA from Bombus huntii, 1488 nucleotides. RefSeq lists it as uncharacterized. Lineage: Eukaryota; Metazoa; Arthropoda; Insecta; Hymenoptera; Apidae. The record is from RefSeq and is a predicted model, not a curated record. The transcript has 2 exons.
UGGAGUGUUAACAACGUUAUAAUUGCUUGUCGGGGAGACGAGCGAUGUUCGUUAAAUUCGCGAUAUUAUGAUCGACCGUCGAACAGCCUAAUUGUCUAUCGAGGCCUGGCAGUAUCUAAUUAACCAGCUGGCCGUUUCGUUAUCGCGAUCCGACGACUUGGAUGCGAGCAUGGUAUCGCGCAAUUCAGUCAGGAAUACCAGAUGCGGUGGACGCAAACGUUGAUGCAACCGAGUGCAUGUUCCGACAUCGAGUAAUUGCUAUAAUCGCUUCUAUGUGUUUCGUGCUUUGUUCCCCUUUCGAAAUGACCUCGUUCGAGCGACGGUUCAUGCUUUAAUAUUUCACGGUGCAAUGUUCCCUACAUUCCAUGCUCUCUGGCCAAUUGUUUGAUGGAUUCAAAAUUAAGAUGUCAGCGUAGAAUUCUUUUACCUCAAUGUACUCUUUAUACUAGUCUCUGCAGAUGUAAAUAUAGAAACCUAGUUUUGGUACAGAUACAAAUACGAAUUAAAAGAUGUAAAUAAUUAUGAAGUAUAAAUUAUUGGUAAUUUAUACCAUUGGUAGUUCAACUGUUCGGGUUAUCAAACUAUUGAUAAUAUUAGUUACUAGAUCAAAGAGAAAAAAGAGAGAACUAUGGGAUAAGACUUUAUAUAUGUUAUAUUUUUAGAGUUAAUAUUUUGCAAUAUAUCUAACUCCAUUUAGAUAAUGCUUGCCUGUUUUUAUAAUACUUCGAUAUCAUGAAAUUGCAUAGACAUUUUGCGAUAUGAGUUUGCCCGAAAGCGGAUGACGUUAACAACGAAAUCGUUCGAAACAAUCCUACAGGAAGGCUAGCAUUGCGGAUGCGCGAGAGUACUUCCUGUUAUGCUUGAACGGUGCAAUUCAGACGUAUCCAAUAACUCUUGUGUUUUAUUUCAAACCAGACGAGCAGCAAUCAUCGAAGUGGGCUAAGAAUUAUGGGACUCCUCUCGAUGAUGUUGAACUCGGUAUGGCAAUCGUAUUGCGAUUAUCCUUGUCGUGCAAAAUACAGCUUCUCGUAGAAAAACAUCAAGUCAAAAAAGAUCGUAAUAUGACGAAGUCGCACAAAUCUGCAUAGAUCGAGGAAAAUUUUACAUUCUUUCGAAAUAAAAUAUAAAUGAACAUGUAGAAUAUAUAUCAUAUUAACUUUAUAUCGUGCCAUAAUUUACUACGUUCGAUAAAAAGGUAUCAUCAUAAUUAAUUAUAAUAUUAGUACAUCUAAUUUAUAAUAUUGUUUAUUACUGAUUUAUCAUUGGAUAAUAUUAUUUAUUGUAAUCGUUCGUCUACUAUUGAUUUAUUUUAAUGGCGAUGCUAUUCAAUAACAUGUACAAAAUAUAUUUAUCACUAAUAAAUGAAUAUAUGAGUUUCACAAUUAUAAAGGGUAUAAAUAUCGGAAAUUACGUUGGUGAUUUCAUUCGAUAGGAUAUACCAAAUAUAUUUAAUAUUUACAAUAGAAAUACAUCACGCUAAUAAAUUAA